GACGAACGCUGGCGGCGUGCCUAAUACAUGCAAGUAGAACGCUGAAGAGAGGAGCUUGCUCUUCUUGGAUGAGUUGCGAACGGGUGAGUAACGCGUAGGUAACCUGCCUUGUAGCGGGGGAUAACUAUUGGAAACGAUAGCUAAUACCGCAUAACAAUGGAUGACCCAUGUCAUUUAUUUGAAAGGGGCAAAUGCUCCACUACAAGAUGGACCUGCGUUGUAUUAGCUAGUAGGUGAGGUAACGGCUCACCUAGGCGACGAUACAUAGCCGACCUGAGAGGGUGAUCGGCCACACUGGGACUGAGACACGGCCCAGACUCCUACGGGAGGCAGCAGUAGGGAAUCUUCGGCAAUGGGGGCAACCCUGACCGAGCAACGCCGCGUGAGUGAAGAAGGUUUUCGGAUCGUAAAGCUCUGUUGUAAGUCAAGAACGAGUGUGAGAGUGGAAAGUUCACACUGUGACGGUAGCUUACCAGAAAGGGACGGCUAACUACGUGCCAGCAGCCGCGGUAAUACGUAGGUCCCGAGCGUUGUCCGGAUUUAUUGGGCGUAAAGCGAGCGCAGGCGGUUUGAUAAGUCUGAAGUUAAAGGCUGUGGCUCAACCAUAGUUCGCUUUGGAAACUGUCAAACUUGAGUGCAGAAGGGGAGAGUGGAAUUCCAUGUGUAGCGGUGAAAUGCGUAGAUAUAUGGAGGAACACCGGUGGCGAAAGCGGCUCUCUGGUCUGUAACUGACGCUGAGGCUCGAAAGCGUGGGGAGCGAACAGGAUUAGAUACCCUGGUAGUCCACGCCGUAAACGAUGAGUGCUAGGUGUUGGAUCCUUUCCGGGAUUCAGUGCCGCAGCUAACGCAUUAAGCACUCCGCCUGGGGAGUACGACCGCAAGGUUGAAACUCAAAGGAAUUGACGGGGGCCCGCACAAGCGGUGGAGCAUGUGGUUUAAUUCGAAGCAACGCGAAGAACCUUACCAGGUCUUGACAUCCCGAUGCUAUUUCUAGAGAUAGAAAGUUACUUCGGUACAUCGGUGACAGGUGGUGCAUGGUUGUCGUCAGCUCGUGUCGUGAGAUGUUGGGUUAAGUCCCGCAACGAGCGCAACCCCUAUUGUUAGUUGCCAUCAUUCAGUUGGGCACUCUAGCGAGACUGCCGGUAAUAAACCGGAGGAAGGUGGGGAUGACGUCAAAUCAUCAUGCCCCUUAUGACCCGGGCUACACACGUGCUACAAUGGUUGGUACAACGAGUUGCGAGUCGGUGACGGCAAGCUAAUCUCUUAAAGCCAAUCUCAGUUCGGAUUGUAGGCUGCAACUCGCCUACAUGAAGUCGGAAUCGCUAGUAAUCGCGGAUCAGCACGCCGCGGUGAAUACGUUCCCGGGCCU
RNAcentral lists this ribosomal RNA (1369 nucleotides) under uncultured bacterium. Its description in RNAcentral is "bacterial SSU rRNA". It matches the Rfam family "Bacterial small subunit ribosomal RNA", at positions 28 to 1381 of the family's 1533-position model. The record is from RNAcentral.